GCCCUGGUGGCACAGUGGUUAAAUGCCUGUACUGUAGCCACUCACUCAUAAAAACCACAAGGUUGUGAGUUCAAUACCAGCCAGGGCU
This 88-nucleotide transfer RNA is filed under the name Phrynosoma platyrhinos (Desert horned lizard). RNAcentral's name for it is "tRNA-OTHER". Lineage: Eukaryota; Metazoa; Chordata; Lepidosauria; Squamata; Phrynosomatidae. The record is from RNAcentral.